UUCCGGUUGAUCCCGCCGGAGGCCACUGCUAUUGGGGUUCGACUAAGCCAUGCGAGUCGCGCGAUAUAGCGGCGUACGGCCCAGUAACACGUGGAUAACCUACCCUCGGGACAGGGAUAACCUCGGGAAACUGAGGCUAAUACCUGAUAGGUAAAAUGCACUGGAAUGUGCUUUUACCGAAAGCUCCGGCGCCCGAGGAUGGGUCCGCGCCCGAUUAGGUUGUUGGUAGGGUAACGGCCUACCAAGCCUACGAUCGGUACGGGCAGUGAGAGCUGGAGCCCGGAGAUGGGAACUGAGACAAGGUCCCAGGCCCUACGGGGCGCAGCAGGCACGAAAACUCCGCAAUGGGCGAAAGCCUGACGGGGGAACCCCAAGUGCCUCUGUUUUGCAGAGGCUUUUCUCUGGUGUAAGGAGCCAGAGGAAUAAGGGCUGGGUAAGACCGGUGCCAGCCGCCGCGGUAACACCGGCAGCCCAAGUGGUGGCCACGUUUAUUGGGCCUAAAGCGUCCGUAGCCGGGUAUUCAAGUCCUCAGGUAAAUCCUGCGUAUAUGCGUGGGAAUUCUGAGGAUACUGUUUACCUUGGGGCCGGGAGAGGUUGGGGGUACUCCAGAGGUAGCGGUAAAAUGCUAUAAUCUUUGGGGGACCACCGGUGGCGAAGGCGCCCAACUGGAACGGACCCGACGGUGAGGGACGAAACCCAGGGGAGCGAGCCGGAUUAGAUACCCGGGUAGUCCUGGGCGUAAAUGAUGCGGGCUAGGUGUGAGGGUAUCCACGAGAUAGCCUUGUGCCGAAGGGAAGCUGUUAAGCCCGCCGCCUGGGGAGUACGGCCGCAAGGCUGAAACUUAAAGGAAUUGGCGGGGGAGCACCACAAGGGGUGGAGGCUGCGGUUUAAUUGGAUUCAACGCCGG
Molecule: ribosomal RNA, 907 nt
Filed under: uncultured archaeon
Lineage: Archaea
Description: bacterial SSU rRNA
Rfam family: Archaeal small subunit ribosomal RNA
Source: RNAcentral